ACGGGAGGCAGCAGUGGGGCAUAUUGGGCAAUGGGCGAAAGCCUGACCCAGCAACGCCGCGUGAAGGAAGAAGGUCUUCGGAUUGUAAACUUCUUUUAUGUGGGACGAACAAAUGACGGUACCACAUGAAUAAGCCACGGCUAACUACGUGCCAGCAGCCGCGGUAAUACGUAGGUGGCAAGCGUUAUCCGGAUUUACUGGGUGUAAAGGGCGCGUAGGCGGGGAAGCAAGUCAGAUGUGAAAUCCAUGGGCGCAACCCAUGAACUGCAUUUGAAACUGUUUCUCUUGAGUGCUGGAGAGGUAGAUGGAAUUCCUAGUGUAGCGGUGAAAUGCGUAGAUAUUAGGAAGAACACCAGUGGCGAAGGCGAUCUACUGGACAGUAACUGACGCUGAGGCGCGAAAGCGUGGGGAGCAAACAGGAUUAGAUACCCUGGUA
RNAcentral lists this ribosomal RNA (436 nucleotides) under uncultured Oscillospiraceae bacterium. Its description in RNAcentral is "bacterial SSU rRNA". It matches the Rfam family "Bacterial small subunit ribosomal RNA", at positions 341 to 792 of the family's 1533-position model. The record is from RNAcentral. Lineage: Bacteria; Bacillati; Bacillota; Clostridia; Eubacteriales; Oscillospiraceae.